Scleropages formosus (Asian bonytongue) is the source of this 215-nucleotide long non-coding RNA. RefSeq lists it as uncharacterized. The transcript has 3 exons. NCBI's taxonomy places the organism in Eukaryota, Metazoa, Chordata, Actinopteri, Osteoglossiformes, Osteoglossidae. The record is from RefSeq and is a predicted model, not a curated record.
AUUCUUUCAUUAACAUUACUAGAGUUGAAUUCUGGAAUGAAUCUGGACUGGUGGGAGUGGACAUUGAUCUUCUGUUCAAGUAUCCUGAACCAUCCCUGUGUCAGGUGAUCUCCACUCUGUAUUCCCUGGCAUUAGUUCCAUCCUUUUUCACUUUUCCCUUGGAUCCCAAGUCCAUACGGGACCGCAGACUAACAACUACAGAAGCUGCAACUACA